Molecule: ribosomal RNA, 461 nt
Filed under: uncultured bacterium
Lineage: Bacteria
Description: partial 16S ribosomal RNA
Rfam family: Bacterial small subunit ribosomal RNA
Source: RNAcentral
CCUACGGGGGACAGCAGUGAGGAAUAUUGGUCAAUGGGCGCGAGCCUGAACCAGCCAAGUAGCGUGAAGGAUGACUGCCCUACGGGUUGUAAACUUCUUUUAUAAAGGAAUAAAGUGAGGCACGUGUGCCUUUUUGUAUGUACUUUAUGAAUAAGGAUCGGCCAACCUCGUGCCAGCAGCCGCGGUAAUACGGAGGAUCCGAGCGUUACCCGGAUUUAUUGGGUUUAAAGGGAGCGUAGAUGGGUGGUUAAGUCAGUUGUGAAAGUUUGCGGCUCAACCGUAAAAUUGCAAUGGAUACUGGCAGUCUUGAGUACAGUUGAGGUAGGCGGAAUUCGUGGUGUAGCGGUGAAAUGCUUAGAUAUCACGAAGGACUCCGAUUGCGAAGGCAGCUUACUAAGCUGCCACUGACAUUGAUGGUCGAAAGUGUGGGGAUCAAACAGGAUUAGAUAACCCCGGUAGUC